GAGCAAAAAAUCUGCAAUUCGCACAAAUAUAAACCCAGUAGAUGGGAUUUAUAUGUUUCUCGCAGAUGCUGCAGUAACAGGGAUAUUCACGAUAUUGUUGGGGAAGAGAGUAGGUCAAGAUGACAGCAUGUUCAUUGUGAAAUUUACUUUGGUAGGUGAUUGGUGCAUUGGCACAACUCUCGUGCAUGUAUCCAGAAACGACAUGUUGUACAAAUAUAGGACAAGUCUGUAGCUGUAGUGUUACAAGCAUGACACAGGAACAAAGCUGGGCUUUGGACUAAGGUUAAUGGGUGAUCAUGACCCUGAUGACACAGGUUACGUUUCUCUAGAGAUUUAAGUUCUGACAUUACACAUUUCAAACAAACAAGAAAUUCGGAACUGGCAGAAGACUCAGAACUAUACAUAAAGUACUGAGAGGCGCUGCCACAAGCAUGACAAGCAUAAAAGUCUUGCUUUCUAUAUGGAAGCGCAACGAGGCUUAGAGGCUGUUUUGGGUUCAUAGGGUGUGUAAAAGUUGAGGGCAACUCUGAACAAGUUUUAUGCAUAUAGAAACCAACACAAACACUCGAUGGACUGCUAUCAAUAACGGAAGUGUUGCACCUAUAAAAUGCAUCUAUGAGUUUGUUGAUUGGCUGUUUGCACCCAACACAUUCUACAUCCUUACCGACAACAGGCUUGACUUCACUUAGUAUCAGCUGAUGCUCAUGAAAAAAAAGUUUCGAUUCUGCCAUCUAUGUUUACAAGAGAGAGAUAGAGAGAGACAGAGGGAGAUGUAUAUCUACUAAAGGCAAAUAUGAAUGAUUCAACACGACCACUGCACUCUGUUCAUAUAUAGAUUAAGAUACAUAAAACAAUCAAGUAGUUAACCCAAUCUUCAAGUUUCAAAAAAGAACGAAUAAUUCAAUGAUAAGUAAGAAUAUGUAUAAGAAUCAAGCAACUGUGCGAACAUUCGUGUUCCAGUGCAUCACCAAACAAAGAAAGAAUCAUAAGCAGUCAUUUAUAAUCAACCUAAAGAAUAAAUGACAAAGAAUUGCAGGUUAGGAGAUUCUGUGGGAGGUAAAGAAGCCAAACAUUCUUUGCUUUUGAGAAUCAAGGAAGUGAUUCCAUUUUGUUUAAGCAAGCUGAGAAGACCCUCUGCUAUGAUUGCUUCAUCAAUCAAAACACCCUCUACUUCAUACAUUUAUAUUCUUUGUGAUACCAUUUCAUCCCAGAAACAUAUAAAGACCAGUAUGAGUGUGAAGUUUCGGACUAUUAAAAAUUUAUAAUUCUCUGUCUCGGACUAUGAAAAAAAUUAUAAUUCUUUGUCUCGAACUAUGAAUUUGGUUCAAAUUUAUAUGUUCUGAAACAACUUUGACAUCAUCAGUAUUCUUAUUCUAUUGAUUUUUAUUUUGGACUUCUAAUGGUGCUACAUGUAUGAUUUUUAAUAUUAGCGGGUCUUUUAAUUCUAUUGAGAUCGGAUCAAUUUUCAAUAUAAUUUCUAUAAAAAUAAAUUUGUAGAUAUAACAAACAUCCCUUAUAUUACAAAACCACCCAUAUUUCUGUUAUAAAUUUUCUUUUAACUAUGUGAGUUUUCCUCAGACCCAUUAAUUACUGAGGAGUUUAGUUGGUUUGAUUAAAACUAAUAAAAACUGAUAUUGAUUGUUCCAUGACAAUUUGUGAUCGUAUUUGUUCAUGACAUAAAUCAAGAACUAAAGUAUGAUAGGUGCAAGAAACUAUAGUGUAGCUUAUUAGUGUGGCCAGAGUCAUGUAAUGAAACAGUUGGAAACGAUUAAAAGAGUGAAAAUCACGAAGGUUAUAAAUUAUUUAGAGAUUUUUUAAAAUGCUAAGACUUGUCAAAAGUGACGAAAUAAUGAAUUUAGAAACAAACUUUUAAAAAUGGUAUAAAUCACAAAUAUUCGAAGUAAUUAUAUGAAACGAAAGACUAUAGAAAAGGUAUUAAUUCAUACCUCAAACUCAGAUUGUCCAAGACUCCAAGCCAAAGAACCCUAGAUCAUAUUAUCCAAGUCAAAGAAUCCCAAAUCACAAUUAUUCAUCCCCACUAAAAGCAAUCCCAACUGAAGCAAACCCUACAGAAAUUCUCACACCGAAACAUAACAACCCUAUAGAAUUGAGCAAAAAAAAUCUCAAAAACAUAAGGGUCAGGUCUCAAACAAACACAAAUCAAAAUCGAAUAGAGUUGCGUGGACUUCCUUAUGUAGCAUCUCCGAAGUGUGGGCCAUUGUUAUCACAAGCAAAAUAUGAUCUCAAAGUAUCAAUUUAUAAUACGGUUUUGGUGCAUUUUCAGAGAUUUUGCGAGUCGAGUUCGAGUUCAAGUUUUUGCUAAACGAGUCGAGUUUGAUCGAUAUGGUAAACGAUCAUUUUUUGUUGAUCGAAUUCGAGUUCGUUAAGAACCGAGUCGAGCUCGAGCUCGAGCUGGUCGCGAACAAUUCGAGUCGAAUCGAGUUCGAGUCGAGCCGUUCGCGAAAAUUUGAUUUUUUUUUCGAAAAAAUUAAUUAAUAUUAAAAAAGUUUUUAAAAUAUUUCCUGAAGAUUCAACCACACAGAUGUUGGGAUAUUUUUAUUUUAAUGAUUUUACAAAAAUAUCACAAAACAAAAAAUAUAUUUGAUGUGAAAUUUUAAUAAUCAACUAGUGAAAUAACUAGUACUUUAUAUAUGUCUGGUCCUGAAUUGAUGUUAUAUUUUUUCUCAAAAAAAUUAUUGACAAUUUAACCGUAAGGAUGUUAAGAUCUAGUUAUUUUAAUGAUAUUAGGAAAAUAUCAAAAAUGAAAAAAAAAUUAUAUUUCAUUAUCCAUAUCUUUUUACACAUUAAAAAUUAAAAAAUCAUAAAUAUUUUGUUUAACGAGUCGAGUCGAGUCGAGUUCGACUUUAACGAGCCGAGUCGAGCUCGAGUCGAACACUAGUACUCGACUCGACUCGAGUUUCUUAACGAUCAAAUUUUUUUGUUCGAAUUCGAACUCAAUAGCGAACCGAGUCGAACCGAGUCGAGCUUUAAACGAGUCGAGCCGAGCUUGUUCGCGAACAGCUCGGUUCGUUUACAGCCCUAUUCAAACUCAUCAAAUUGUGUAUUUAUUAUGUGUCCGUUUUCUUUUCUUUUUUGAAAAUGAGAAUAAAUCUCACAAAUAAGAAUCGGCAAUUCACCAAGAUAAUUCCUUCAUUCAAGAAAGCUUAUUAUCUAACCGUCGGACAUGCAAGAUGACCGGGAAAAUUUAGACAAUAAAACUUUAAUGUCCUAAAAUAAAAACUAGUCUUCUUCCAAGAAUCCUGAAAAUAAAUCAAAGGAAACAAGAAAAAUAUAAGACAAUAUAUAUCAGAUUACAUAAAUUAUAAAAAUAAAAAAUAUAUCCAAUAAUUAAUUAUUAAUAAAAUCACGUGUAUAUGCAUGUGCUGAUCAAAAUAUUUACACAAUUAUGAUAACUCAUAACUGAGACAAUUAAACUCUUAAUUAAGGCACAAUUAAUAAAAUAUUAACGCUCUUAAUUAAGACACAUUAAAGCCCUUUAAAUAAGGCACAAUAAACAUCUUCAAUUAUGAGGUACGGUUUACGUCCUCAAUUAUGAGGCCCAAAUAACGCCCUUAAUUAUGAGGCACAAUUAACGCUUUUCUUUCUGAAGGCGGAUCCCUAGAAUUGCCGUCGCCGCAACCCUCAGUCACCGCCACCACUGCUACGCUAUUUCUCUCGCACACGUCCGCAAAACCAUAAACUCAGAUUAUCAACCGAUUACUCAGCAAGGCACAAAUCAAACAAAAAGUUUAAUUAAAAUCAAACAAAUCAUUAUAAUCAACGACAAUUAAUCAUAAUUUAAUCAAACAAAAAGAAAUUCAUUCAACUGGAAAAUAAAUGAACGAAAAACGCAUACGUUUCAUCUUUGACGACGAGAUUGAGGAGCGUGAGAAGCGCGGACUGAGUGGAUUCGACCGAGUCAAAACGGAGCAAAUCGACGAGCAGUAUCAUUUGAAAAGAAGAAUGAAGAUAUAUAUAUGUGGACGUGGAAUUUGAAUUUCUAACCUCAAAACUGGAAUCUGAUAAAUUGGAUGUGUUGACAAGUGAUUAACAAAGGGUGGUUGUUGAGAGUGAGAUCGUAGAUGAUGAUCCGAUGUUUAUAUUUAAAAGUACAGAUAUACCUGAUUUUUUAACUAGGAACCCACAAAAGAUUCAAUUGUUUGCACAUAUAUGGAUGAAUAUGUUAGCGAGAAAGCUUGGCGUUGGCUGUGGAAUUGUACACGAGAGAGACGGAGAGAAAUUAUUUAUUAUGUGUCCUUGGAGCACAUUAGAUAGACCUUUUAUAAUAUUACGUGGUUAUAAUUUUUUUAAAAAAAUUAUAAACAAUUUUAACCUCCUUUUUUUUUGACAAUGAGGCCUUACUUUGUCUUACAAAUUAGUAGUCAGAGUCGAACUCGGGUGUCCCGGGAUAAUAAGGGAUAAACCAUCAUUGGGCUAUCCAGUCGUGCUCGAUUUUAACCCUUUUUAAAGCCCAUAGAAAAACAAAAAAUGGCUCAGAUCAACAAGUAAUGCCCUGAAUAACAGAUCGAGAAAAAUAACCCAAAUACCGGUUAUUAAUAUCAAUCUAGCGUUUUUAAUUUGGGAGAAAACGCUAGUUAGUGUAACGUUUUACGGUUUUAACCCAAAAAAUAACGCUACAUAAACUAACAUCUUGUUUUUUUUAACCCUAACAGAACGCUAAACGAAUGAAAAUUCAAACGCUACACGAUGCAGUAUUAAUAAAUGAUAUUUAAAGUUAUUUUUUUUAUCAUAAUACGAAUAAUGAAUAUAGUGAUAACACCCCGCAAAAGCCUAGAAUCCUCAUGCUUAUGAGGUAACUUUUAAAGCCUAGACAUGUAUAUCUAAAACGUUAUACGUGUAAUGAUUUAUUCUUACAUUAAAAUAUGACAUUCAGAGUAUUUCAACUCUAAUUUGUGAUAUCUGAAGCCUUUUAUCGUAUCCGAGAAUUUUUACAAUAUACUGUCAAGUCAAUUAUUAAUGAAUAUUUUGACUAGUUUCGGAUACACUCCAAAGAAUUUUAAUACAAUUUAUAAAUUUUAAUACCCUAUAUAUAAUUUAUAGAUUUUAAUGAAUUGUAUCUGAAUUGAAUUUUAUAUGAAUUUUAGAUAUAAUGUCGCAAGAUCUCAUAGAUUAUGGUGGAAUUUCCAAAAGCACAAAAUACACGCAAAAAUUUAUCAUUUUAUUAAGUCCCAAAAAUUAAUCAACAUUUGAAUAACAUCAAAUUAUAAUAUAUUUGAAUAAUCUUAAUUGAACACCAUAUUUUUAGAUAUAAUUAAAAUCAUGUUUAAAUACCACCAGAUUUUAUAUCAUAACUUUAAAUCUUAAUCGACCUCAAAAUAUGGAUACAGUUUUUAAAAUUAUACACCUAUUUUUUAUGAAUUAAAAAAAUCAAAAUUUCAAUUGAAUCCACCCUUUGGGCUUGAGAAAUAUUCGGACGGCAUUAUUGUCAAAAUGACUAUCUAUUCUUCAUUGAUAAACUGAGAUGAAUAUAAUUCGAACAACCUACCAUACUACGGUCAAUACCAUACUACAAUGAGCCUGUGCAUAAGAUAUAUAGCUACAAACCAGAUAAAAUUAAGAAAUAACCCCAAUAACCUUUUAGGAAAAAAAACAUGCUAACGAACUCGUACUAUCUGUGACAUAUUUUGAUUUGUCAACCUUGUUACAAGAUCAGCAUUGUUAAAUUUAAAUUUUUUUUUUGAUAAUUUGAAAAGAAUAUAUACAAGCACAAAGGAUUUGUAAAUUUUCUGAACCUAUACAAUCCAGCAAUACACAAUAUAAUUUUCCCUGAUUUCAUUCUUUAAUGAAACAAUUCCGAUGCACUAUAUAUUUGCAUGGUGAACAUUGGAGAGCCGGCGUAUCGCGUGCAUCUUCCCCACAUAAAUUGCAAUUCCUUGUCUUUUUAUUGAGAAUAUAUGUGAGGCCGUGUGGAUGAGGAUGUUUGUCGCUGUAAAUGUUGGUGGCACCAAACUUGAUAUUGGACAGCCAAUCAUCUGGAUCAAUACAGCUAAUAUGAAAUGAUAGAUCGCAUACAUUGCAGUGAUAAAACCAACUGUUGGUGUUUAUCUCUUUGGAGCAAAAUUCACAAGGGAAUUCGUGGGGAUGAUCGGGUACAUUCUUGAGAGACAGGAUCAAGUAGAGAGGAUGAGGAUCCCACCUAUGUUUCACCACUUGUGCACUUAACACACACCCUAUAUGUGUGUAAAAUUCACAUUUUUCACAUCCGUACACGAUGGUUCUUACCUCUUCAGUUACAGGCUCACGCCAACAACCUUUGCAAAGAAAGUCAUCUGGAGUCUUUAAUUGCUGAAGAGGGUGACGAUGACCUUUAUGUUUGAUUAUUCUGGGUAAUGAAGCGCACUUGAUGUCAAAAGUGUAUUCAUCAUUGAGCAUGCAAAUCCCAUUACCAUAAAUGCCGCAACCACUGCAUUGAAAAGUAUAUAGUUCACCUGACUCUCGUGCUAGCACUGCCUCCAGAUCGCCUGCUAGAUGAUGCUUAAUCCUUUUGGGGAAUUGGGAGCAUGAUCUGUGGAGAAAAAAAUUGCAUAAACUGCAUUCAUAGAAUACAUCAACCAAGGAGAUAGGAUUCAUGCAACCAUCACAGAUUAGCAAUUCAGUUUCUGCUAUUUUCGGCUUCAAGUUGAGGGGCAAAGUUUUUGCAUUCUUGUUUCCGAGUGCCAGUUGGUGUCCAUGGGCCCAAUGAUUGAUAUAAGGUGAAGGUUCCCCAGUGGAAGGAUUUACGGCCUUGAUGAUACAUUGUUGCAUUGUUUCAUGUAGUGAUGCUUCAUCAUGCACUGGGAACUGCAUCAAACUGGACUCUCCGCAAUCUGCUUCAUCAUCAAUAUCACUUUCACUAUUCCAAAAGAAAGAUUCAUAUCCAAUCAGAAUAAUUUCGAGUAAAACAGCAAUGUCAGAAAACUAAAUAUUUAUUUAAUAAGUAUUCAAUAUCAAAUAUAUAAGAAAUAAUAAGAGAUAGUACAUCAACCUCAACAUCUCAGUUAAUGAAGCACAUUUCACGUGAGCAAAAAAUCUGCAAUUCGCACAAAUAUAAACCCAGUAGAUGGGAUUUAUAUGUUUCUCGCAGAUGCUGCAGUAACAAAGAUAUUGACGAUAUUGUUGGGGAAGAGAGUAGGUCAAGAUGAGAGCGUGUUCAUUGUGGAAUUUACUUUGAUAGGUGGUGGGUGCAUUGGCACAAUUCUUGUGUAUAUAAAAACAACAUCUUGUACAGAUAUAGGACAAGUCUGUAGCUGUAGUGUUACAAGCAUGACACAGGAACAAAGCUGGGCUUUGGACUAAAGUUAAUGGGUGAUUGUGACCUGGAUGACAAAGGUUACGGUCCUCUAGAGAUUUAAGUUCUGACAUUACACAUUUCAAACAAACACGAAAUUCGGAACUGACAGAAGAAUCAGAACCAUACAUAAAGUGCUGAGAGUGGCUGUCACAAGCAUGACAAAUAUAAAAGUAUUCUUUUUUAUAUGGAAGCACAAAGAGGCUUAGAGGUUUUUUCGGGUUCAUAGGGUGUGUAAAAGUUGAGGGCAACUCAGAACAAGUUUUAUGCAUAUAGAAACCAACACAAUCACUCGCUGGACUGCUAUCAAUAAGGGACUUGUUGCACCUAUAAAAUGCGUCUAUGAGUUUGUUGAUUGGCUGUUUGCACCCAACACAUUCUACAUCCUUACCGACAACAGGCUCAGCUUCAUUUAGUAUCAGCUGAUGCUCAUGAAAAAAAAAUUUCAAUUCUGCCAUCUAUGUUUACCAGAGAGAGAGAGAGAGAGACAAAGGGAGAUGUAUAUUUACUGAAGGCGAGUAUGAAUGAUUCAACACGACCACUGCACUCUGUUCAUAUAUAUAUUAAGCUACAUUAAACAAUCAAGUAGUUAACCCAAUCUUCAAGUUUCAAAAAAGAACGAAUAAUGCAAUGACAAGUAAGAAUAUGUAUAAGAAUCAAGCAACAGCACAGACAUUUGAUUCCAGUUCAUCAGUCAUCACCAAACAAACAAAGAAUAUUAAGCAGUCACUUAUAAUCAAGACUAUAAGAAUCAAAAAAGUUAUUCCACUUCUCUUUAGCCAGCCAAGACUAUGAUGGUAAAGAGUAAAGACUCCUACUAGAAGAUAAUCUGAAACAAAGCUACUCUUUUUUGUCUGGGGGCAAUAACCUUGAGUUUCUACUUUCUACUCAAAAGUAAAAAUUGGAUUCAUAUAAUUAACAGCAAAAUCAGCUAGUUUAUAGAUCAUUCUUGACUUACAGUAGAAGGCCGCAUAGUGAAAAACCCAGACUUAAUGCCCACCUCCUUGAUAUGAAAAUCUCGUGCUUUUGACUUUAAACCAGUUUUGAGUUUGCAUUGAACAAAUCUCAUGGUCGGGUAAUUUGUUGUGAAAAUCUGUUCCAUGAGUCAUUCGUUUUUUCUUAAAUACAUUACUACUUGUUACUCUUAAAUAGACAUAGUAUAUUUUACUUGAGGAAUAUUUUUGUAAAGAUGUUUCAAGGCAAUCCCAAAAAAUAUCAGCCUAACUCAAAAAGUGUUCUAUUUUUAUAAACUUGAGAAGUGCCUUUAUUCGAUAUGAAAAUCAGAUGACAAUAAUGUCUCCAACAAAUAAAUUGCAGGCAAAACUAAAAAUUUGGAAGCAAUCUAUUUCACAAGAACUGCGAACCAACAGGAGUUUGUUGCUUUCAAUUACGUUACCAGCUUCCAGUCUGAUAACUUUCUCAUUCUUGAUUCCCAACGUACACCGUGAGUAAGGUGACAACAUCCUUCAUGUUAAUAGCAUAGAAUCUAUGAAAGAGNNNAAAGAGUGUUCAAUUAUGUAAACUUUUUAAUUAAAAUUAGGGUUAAAUAUACAGUGGUCACUAAUUUUAACGGGGUCUAUUUACUAUUUAUUUUUUAUUAUAUUUAUAUUUUUUUGUUUUAAUUGAAAAUAAAAUUGAUAAAAUCUACAUAUAUUGUCAUAAAUACUAAAAGUCAUAACCUUUUAAUUGGUUGUGGUAGUUAUAAAAAGUAAUGUGUCAAACUCUAUAAAUAAUAUUUUCUUGUAGUGUUGAUUGAUAUUUAUUAUGAUUUUAAUGAUUGAAAUGAGACCCCGUUAAGAUUAGUGAGCAAAAUGAUAUAUGACCUCUAUGUCAAUGACCACUUUGAUAUUUAUUUCGACUCCUCGAGCCUAAACCCUAAUUAAUUCGAGGCUGCAGGGCCGAAGGCCCUAAAGCCGAGAAACCAAUUUUAAAAAACAAAUUAACAAUCGUUUAAAUUUAGGGUUUAUGUUUGGGAUUUAGAAUGAUUAAUUAAUUAUUAAUUUAUACUUAAAAACUAAAAAUAUUUUUGUAUAGCAUCUUUGAUUUUAUGAACUCAAAACAAAAUAAAAUAGAUCAAUAAAAUUAAAAAAAAUUAAAAAUAGAAUUAGAAAAUAAAAAGAGUCCAGCUGAUCUAAACGUUACUUCAGGUAACGUUUUGUGCCUGCCAAGAUCCCCCUCCCUGGCCACUUGAAUAGUUUUCAACGCUAUUGUAAGGAGCGUUUAGAUUUUAAAUAAAAAUUGAAAAACUAAAACGCUACUUGUAGUAGCGUGUUUUAGUUUUAAAAAGAAUAAAACGCUACACGAUGUAGCGUUUUGGUUUUUUAAUCAAAUCGCUACACGAGAUGCGUGUCUACUGGUUAGUAAGGGCCACGUUUCGGAUAUUUUGUUAUUUUGGGUAUUUUCACCUUAAAUCUGGUUAUUUGGGGCCAAAUCCCCAUAUUUUGCCUAUACCUGAUACAAUACCUGCUUAAAAAGUAAAAAGAGAAGUAAAUUAAUAAUUAUAAGUAGUUAAACUAUUUGGAAAAAGUGUAGAAGUUGUAAAGAUAAGUUAACGUUUUCUAUUUCUAUGACUUCUUAAAAAUAUUUCUUAUUUUUUAUACAAACGGGUCAAGAAAAGUAAAAGCAAGAAGUGGCUCAUGCUUCUCUCCCCCAAACAUGGGUUUUGUUUCACGAAUUCUACUUAUUUUUCUACUUUUUUGCUAAACACUUUAAUAACUUAUAAGUCUUAACUUACUUCUCAUUUAUUUACUAUAAACAAAAAAUCAUUUCGUUUAAAUUCACCCAACCGUCCCUUAUCACCACACUUCAUCAAACAUAAAUAUGGUCAAAUUUAGAAAUUAAAUAUUACGACUAUAAUAAGAUAUAUAAAUAUAUUAUUAUGAUUAUAAAGUGUUUGGGAAAAAAAUAGAAGUCAUGAUAUAAAAAUUAAUAUUCCAAAAUUCUUUUAAGUAUUUCUUAUCGGUACGAAUAAGCUUCUAACUUAUAAAUCUAGAAGCCGGGCUUAUAAGCAAUCGUCAAAUACCACAUUUGUUUCAUCACUUCUACUUAUUUUUAUACUUUUUUACCAAACACUUUAAUCGCUUAUAAAUCUUAACUAACUUCUACUUCACUUUUCUUACUUUAAGUAAAAAACAUUUUUUUAAACUCACCCAAACAGCCUCUUAAUUUUACUUCUCAUUUCUUUAUUAUAAACAAGAAAUCACUUCGUUUAAACUCACCCGAACCGCCGCUUAUCACCCCGCAUCAUCAAACAUAAAUAUGAUCAAUUUUAGAAAUUAAAUAUUACACUUAUAAAUUAUAAGAUAUAUAAAUAUAUUAUCGGUUUGUCUAGUGUGUGCCCAUGGGCACAUGCUAAGCGCGGAAAUUUUUGUAUUUGGGAGGUUUUGAUUGGUGUGGUUGGUGUAUUUGCAGGGGGGUCCACCAUUAUUAAGAGAUAGGAGCCAAUCAAAAUGAUCUAGGUACAAAAUUUUCCGCGCUUAGCAUGUGCCCAUGGGCACACCAUAGAAAAACCGAUAUAUUAUUAUGAUUAUUCAAUCCAUUCUGUUCCAAUCGAAUUUUUUUUAAAAAACCGAACUGAAUCAAACUGAAUUGCACGGUGCGGUAUGUUUCGAUUUUAUUCAGCCCUACAUAUAUAUGUUUUUAUUCCAAAAAAAUUAAAUUGAUCCUCAAAAUUAAUAUACAUGAUCAAAUGUCUAAAAAAGAUAUUUAUAAAAUCACGUAUAUGUGCAUAUAAACUGCUAUCGCAUACAAUCCACUUCUUUACUAUCAUUUUUAAUUUUUAAUAGUAAGUAACUUAUUUCAAACUUACCUAUAAAGAGACUAGUGCAUUUAUUAAUCAGUUGUUUAGGCGCAAGGAGGCUUAGAGGGUGUAGUAUAUAAUCAACCACUUAUCCUAAAAUCUCAAGCUUUCGAUAAGAGUUUAAUCGGAUCAUAUUAUUCAUCACCAUUUCCUCUCUCAUAGUACCAGUUGUUUAAACAGGCUGUAUGCUGAAGUUCUGAGCAUAAGACUGCAAUUUCUUUCAAGAAUUAAAGAAGUUCAUUUUUCUUUCGGCAAGACUGCAAGAACAGAGGGUCCUUCAUAUACUAAUAUUUUUUACCUAUCGGACAAGGAGAAAUAAAUACAAAUCUAGGCCUGCUGCCACGAUCCUCUAAGAUUCAGCCCUCCGUAAUAGCAAAAAAAAAUAAAAUACAAAUCUAUCCACGAUUCCACAUCUUAUAUUCUGAUAUGUGUUUGUGAAGUAGCACAAUGCCAGCAUACAAAUGCAGUGCUGAUGCAGAUGCAUACCUUAAGCCAAAAUGGCACAUUGUUCUUAUAGCCUGUAGCCAAUACUACAGCAUGGAAAUCUAUCCUAUGCAGAAGAUAGUUAUAGAUUAGAUUGAAUCAAGAAAUAAACCCAAAAAUAUUAUAAGAAAAAAACAUGAUAAAAAUCGUAUUAUCUCUGACAAGAUUUUCUGAACCUAUACAAUCCAGAAGUACAAUAUAUGAUUUUUGCCUGAUUUCAAUCUUCAUCGUUACAAUCCUCAUGCACCAAAUAUUUGCAUGGUGAACAUUCAAGAGCUGGCUUAUCGCAUGCAUCUUGACCACAUAAAUUGCAAUUUCUCUUCUUUUUAUUGAGAAUAUAUGUGAGGCCAUGUUGGUGAGGAUGUUUGUCACUGUAAAUGUCGGUAGCACCAAACUUGAUAUUGGAGAGCCAGUCAUAUGGAUCAAUACAGUCAGUAUCAAAUGAUAGAUCACAAACACUGCAGUGAUAAAACCAAGCGACUGGAUUUAUCUGUGUGGAGCAUAGUUCACACUCGAAUUCAUGAGGAUGAUCAGCUACAUUCUUGGGGGAGAGAAUCAAGUAAAGAGGAUGAGGAUCCCAUCUGUGAUUCAUCAGACGUGGUUUUAUCACACACCCUAUAUGUAAGUAGAAUUUGCAUCUUUCACAUCCAUACAUGAUAGUUUCUUCAUUUGUUUCGGGUUCAUCCAGACAUGCUUUACAAAAAAAGUCAUCUGGACUCUUUAAUUGGCUGAGAGGGUGGCGAUGAGCUUCAUGUUUGAUCAUUCUCGGUAGUGAAGCACAGCAGAUGUCUAGACUGGCUGUUUUAUUGGUCAUGAAAAUCCCAUUACCAGAGAGUCUGCAACCUUGGCACUCGAGACCCCCGAGUUCAUGGUCUUCUCGUCCAAAUAGGCUCUCCAGCUUGCCUGCUAGAUGAUGCUCAAACUCUUCCGGAAACUGAGAGCAUGAUCUGUGGAGAAAAAAAUUGCAUGAAUUGCAUUCAUAGAAUAAUUCAUCAAGCAAGGAUAUUGGUUUAAUGCACCCGUCGCAGAUAAGAAUUUCAGUUUCCGCUAAUUUACAGCUCAAGUUAGGGGUUUAAGUUGUCGCGUUCUUGUUUCUAAGUGCCAGCUGGUGCCUAUGGGCCCAAUGCUUGAUAUAAGGUGAAGGUUCCGCAAUAUUGGCAGAAUCAUGCUGGUGAGCAUUUGCUACCUUCAUGAUACAUUGCUGCAUCACUUUAUGUAGUGAUGCUUCAUCAUGUGCAGGGAAGUGCAUUAAAUUGGAAUGUCCCCAAUCUGCUUCAUCAUUCAUAUUACUUACGCUGUUCCAGAAGAAAGAACCAACCCCAAUCAGAACGAUUUCGAGUAAGACAACUAUGUAACUAUUUAGUAAAUUAUCAAUAUGAAAAAUAUGAAAAAUACGAAGAGGAAAUGGUACAUCAAAGUUGAUAAAGCACAUUUCACGUGAGCAAAAAAUCUGCAAUUUGCACAAAUAUAAACCCAGUCGAUGGGAUUUAUAUUUUCAUCGCAGAUGCUGCAGAAACAGGUAAAUUGACGAAAUUGUUGGGGAAGAGAGUAGUUCAAGAUGAGAGCGUGUUCAUUGUGAAAUUUACUUUGGUAGGUGAUGGGUGCAUUGGCACAACUCUCGUGUAUCCAGAAAGGACAAGUUGUACAAAUAUAGGACAAAUCUGUUGCUGUAGUGUUACAAGCAUGACACAGGAACAAAGCUGGGCUUUGGACUAAGGUUAAUGGGUGAUC
Molecule: long non-coding RNA, 13301 nt
Filed under: Daucus carota (carrot)
Lineage: Eukaryota; Viridiplantae; Streptophyta; Magnoliopsida; Apiales; Apiaceae
Description: long non-coding RNA (DCAR_LNC000043)
Source: RNAcentral